RNAcentral lists this long non-coding RNA (213 nucleotides) under Theobroma cacao (cacao). RNAcentral describes it as "long non-coding RNA (TCAC_LNC005239)". Lineage: Eukaryota; Viridiplantae; Streptophyta; Magnoliopsida; Malvales; Malvaceae. The record is from RNAcentral.
AAUUUGUAAAGAUUAACAAUUGAUUUCUUGGACCUCUCAUUACACUUUUAAGCCCAAUUAAACCCUAGGUCAGCUUCAGGAACUUUAGGUUAAGCUAUUAGUAUAAAUAGGAUAUGUUUAACAACAUUAGAUGAGACAACUUUUGAGAGAUUCAAGAUGAAAUGCCCAUACUUUGAUAUGGUGAUAAAUAAAGUUGGUCGGAUGCGAAUUGAG